UCAGCGAUUAUUGCAGGCUUUGCCCGGUCCCCUCAGGUCCAAUAUCGCACAAGCGUUGUGCUGCAGACGGUACCGCAGCUUACUCUCCAUCUCGUGCUGCGUUUCUCGUACCUGCAGAAAACUUACUUCAGCAUCAAAUAAACCCCGUGGGAAGCGUACCCGACUCAUGCCUGCAGGACCAUCCCGUUGGGGCUGGUAAAAUCCAUGAACGGGGCGAUGCUUGGAAGAAUGUCACCUAUGGAGAAGGCAACACUCUCCUUCUGGGCAACAGUUUUUGGAGACUGGUUUCCCCACCCCACUGUGCAUUUUGAAGGAGGCAGUCCCUAAGCUGAUGCAAUCCAACUGCAUCUAAGCUGUAGUUCUGUAGCAUCUGUAGCAAAAUAAACUGCCAGAUGAAUAAACGAGCAGGUACAAAUACGCUUGACUCUAUAGCUGAGAUUAAAUAACGUGCAGUUUCUUAUGUGUUUUACCUUUCAAAGCACGUUGUUUCCGAGCGCCUGAGCUUUUUGCUCGUAUUACCGAGGAAGGGAAUGGCUGCGCUUCUUCCCCCCUCAUCCCUCUAUUUUAAUUUCUCCUCUUUUCCCUCGAUGACAGGGAUUCAGAAUGUUUUCCUCAGCUAUCCACGUGAAAAUU
Molecule: long non-coding RNA, 633 nt
Organism: Oxyura jamaicensis (ruddy duck)
Lineage: Eukaryota; Metazoa; Chordata; Aves; Anseriformes; Anatidae
Exons: 2
Source: RefSeq, a predicted model, not a curated record